UCGAGAAUCAUUCGCAAUGGGCGAAAGCCUGACGAUGCGACGCCGUGUGAACGAAGAAGGCCUUCGGGUCGUAAAGUUCUUUCGAUUGGGAACAAGAAAGAUCAGCUAAUAACUGGUCAAUUUGAGGGUACCAGUAGAAGAAGCACCGGCUAACUCCGUGCCAGCAGCUGCGGUAAUACGGAGGGUGCAAGCAUUAAUCGGAUUUAUUGGGCGUAAAGGGCGCGUAGGCGGGGAUGUAAGUCAGAUGUGAAAUCCCGGAGCUCAACUCCGGAACAGCAUUUGAAACUGCAUCUCUUGAGGAUAGGCGGAGAAAAUGGAAUUCCACAAGUAGCGGUGAAAUGCGUAGAUAUGUGGAAGAACACCAGUGGCGAAGGCGGUUUUCUAGCUUAUUCCUGACGCUAAAGCGCGAAAGCAAGGGGAUCAAACAGGAUUAGAUACCCGUGUAGUCC
Molecule: ribosomal RNA, 449 nt
Filed under: uncultured bacterium
Lineage: Bacteria
Description: bacterial SSU rRNA
Rfam family: Bacterial small subunit ribosomal RNA
Source: RNAcentral